GGCGCGCCGCGCGCCGGCGAGCGUCUCGGCGUUCUGAGCGCCGGGGCUCAGCCGGUGUACGGCACCUCGGCCUGCCA
RNAcentral lists this transfer RNA (77 nucleotides) under Pimelobacter simplex. RNAcentral's name for it is "tRNA-Gln". Lineage: Bacteria; Bacillati; Actinomycetota; Actinomycetes; Propionibacteriales; Nocardioidaceae. The record is from RNAcentral.